GUGUACUCCCCAUGUCCUUAUCAUUUUCAUAAUGCUCGACACGCAUUUUAAGAUAUCUAUAAAAUAUAGUUCUAUAAUUUAUUUUUAAAAUUUUUCUUUUUUUAUAAAAAUUUGAACAUGAAUUUUUAUUUAGAAGAAAAAAAAUAAUUUAAAAUAAUUUAUCGAACUAUGCUUUACGAGAGCAUUAGAAUGCGUACUGAGUCCCGUCCGUAUUUAGUCAGCAUGCACCUUAGUUUAUUCAAUGAAAGUGUGCUCUGCUCUUUGUGCUUUGUAGCCUCUUCUAAAGUCCAUGGUAUUUCACUCGUCUGUCUAAGGUUUCUUCAGAUCUCUUUGGCGGAAAAGUGACAGCCCAAGGUUCACUGCAAUUGAUAGGUGAUUCUUCUGCAGUUCAAUCUCUACUGAAGCAACCAAACAAGGAGCAGCCAUAUAAAGAACAGAGGAAUAUAGUGAAAUGUUGAGCAAUACAUGUAGGUAAAAAGAAUCUCUGAGACAUUAUUGGAGUUUCGUUUCGAUGAUUUCCUAAAGGCGGUUUCUUACUCUGUAUCAAAGGUUGUCACCCUUUUGAUAUCCAAAACAUUGUUGAAAUAUAGAAUAAGAUCCAUUUGGGGCAUUCCUCUAGCACCUUAAGGUUUUAGAUGGACUGAUUUUCAACAUGGUAUCAGAGCUUUGGUUUGGCGGAAGUCUCAAGUUCGACUCUGAUGGGCGCCUCGGUAGAGAUUGGUUCCAUUAGCAUAACACCCUCAGGCUCAGGUUGCCUAGAGGCCCUCGAAUGAUCCUAAUCCCAAUGGUAAUAAGAGAUUAUGACUUUUUUGUUCCUGAUACGCGACCAAUGACUACUUUACCAACUGAUACUCUUCACCUCCUUUUUUUAGCAGAAGCUUCAGAUGAAUCCUGUGAAAGUCCAUCAUCAUCCAAAAGAUUAUCGUGUCAUAGUAUUUUCAGUCUCUUUCAAUAGUCUGCUUGCUCUAAGGUUGUAUUUGUUCGUGCAUGAUGCCUCAUGAUUUAUUUAGUAAAAAAAGGAUUUUCUGUGUUUUCAUGGAGUUAUAAGCUUCACUCAUGAUUCAUAACGAGUCAUCUUCAAGUCACACACGCUAUGUGUGCCGGACUGAUGGCCCGAGUUGCGUCGGUUCUCAAGCAUGGGAGGCUUCACCACCUCCAGGAGUCGAUCACUAAAAAUGACCGGAUUAAUCGGUUCCUCAGACUUGAAUAAAAGAGAAAAGUAGGAAGAGAACUCAAUCUAG
RNAcentral lists this long non-coding RNA (1241 nucleotides) under Daucus carota (carrot). RNAcentral's name for it is "long non-coding RNA (DCAR_LNC006512)". Lineage: Eukaryota; Viridiplantae; Streptophyta; Magnoliopsida; Apiales; Apiaceae. The record is from RNAcentral.